AUGAAUUGGAGGGGAGCGGUGGGGCACGAUUCAGUCCACUGCACACCGUUCUCCUCUCCAGACCUCUCACUGGCAAGUCCUUUCAUCUCAAUUUCAGUUCUGUGAGGCCGUCCUACUAUUGUCUAUCACCCUGUUUGAUUUUUUUGUAGCCUCAUCAUUUAUUCAUUACAGUUUCUUAAGUUCUUUUUUUUAGGGAGCUUGUCAUUGCCUAGAAGAGUGCUGGGCACACAAUAGUGAUACUGAAUAUACAACUAAAAUCAUGUAAUAUAGCACAUGAGAUUCUUAAUGCUAAAAUUAAGACUUUUUAACAUGAAAAAUGCUCUUAAGGGCAGAAAUGAAGCAAAUUUCAGGCAAGAUGGCAGACAAGACUGAAACGGAUUCAUCCAUCAACUGCUACAGACUUAAAAAACAAAAUAUGCCCAAUGCAAAGCUGAGCUCAGGAAAUCCUCAGAUGCUAGAGAUAAAGACAAAAUCCAGUUGCAGAAGUGAGUUCCAGGUGAUGCCAGGAGACCCCAGGAAGUAUCAGAUUAGGUCACAAAACUAGGAAUAAGGUUUUAAUGUCUUCAGAAAAACAGAGCAUUUGGUGAGAGAAGGGAACUAAUCCGAGACUCCCGCAUACAACCAGGACACUUGAAGGGCUGCCUCACCUGUGAAAAAGAAACUGGAAAAAUCUCUUCAAAUCUGUCUGUGGAAACAGAAAGACAGCCUGGUGUUUGACAAAGCUCUCGGUGGGACAAACCUCCUCUGAGAAAUGGAAACCUAGGAAAUCAAAAGCCCAGAAAUUAAGGGAAAGCAUUAGUCUCAGAUAAUGAAAAGGAAACCCUUGGGGCCCGGGCCAAAGCAAAUGUAAAAACAUGAACACUUGCAUAAUCUCGUACAUGGGACUCACAGAAAAUGCAACCCCUAAUAUAGAUGAGCUCGCAAUGAAAAAUUAUCCACCACUGUGGCAAUGCAGUCACCAAAAGGAAGACUCAACAGACCAAUGAGCAUAGACACGAGCUGUGGAGGUAACAACUGGAAACAGAAGAAUAAAAUCUCAAGAUAAAUAAUUUAAAAAUACUUAACAUGGAAAAAUAUUUCACUUAAAAAAUAUAACUUUUAGAAAAAAUAUAGUAUCAUUAACUUAAAAAUUCAGUAGCUAGGUUGAACAAUAAAUUCACCACAAAUGAAAAGAGAAUUAGAGAUCUGGAUCACGGAGCUGGAAGAUGAAUGCAGAGGCAGCACAGGGAGGUAAAGCAAUGGAAAAGAUCGCAGGGAGUCCCAAGACCCGGGAUGCUCCCUCGAGUCACUCACAGGAGCUCCAGAGGAAAGGACAGAUCAUGGGGAAAGGCAAUAUUUGAAGCAACAAUGACUGGGAAUUUUUCAUAAUUAAGAAAGAUGUAAAUAUUCAGAGGGAAAAUGCAGAUCUAGACACUUUUCAGAAACACUAUGAAACUCCAAAGUCAAGGAAAAGAUUAAAAGCAACUAGAAACAAAAGACAGUUUACAAUAAAAGAUCCAAAUUAGAUGGAAAUUACAUGUCUCAUUAAUAAAAUAGAGGUCAGAGAAAAGGGUAAAAAAUGUUCAACAUGCUCAAAGAACAAAAGUUAUUCAUCUACAAUACAACUUAGUAAAAUUAUCAUUCAAAAAUAAAGACAAAUCAAAUGUAUUUGACUAAGACUGAAGGGUAUUUUUUUAACCCCUGGAUCAUCAACUUUACCAAAGGAUAAAAUUUAUUAAAAAUAUGAUCAGCUUGUCGAAAGAAUGAAUCAAUGACACUCUGUCUUCGUGGAGAGCAGCCUGGGUGUGGAAUCAGGCACCCCCGGGUUCAAAGCCAUCACUGUGAUUGAAGAACAGAAGUCAUUCGUGAAGGACACAGCACACACAGCCCAGAGAGCUCGCAGGUUAAAACUGCACAUGGAGCAAUGUCUGCCAGCCAUUCAGGCAAACACAGUAUUCACAAUCAAGUUAUUUAGACCUUUUAGAUUGUAUACAAAUGACAUAGAAAAAUGUACAGCCAGUC
This 2001-nucleotide long non-coding RNA is filed under the name Homo sapiens (human). RNAcentral describes it as "HSALNT0338229". The record is from RNAcentral. Lineage: Eukaryota; Metazoa; Chordata; Mammalia; Primates; Hominidae.